This 1410-nucleotide ribosomal RNA is filed under the name metagenome. RNAcentral describes it as "bacterial LSU rRNA". It matches the Rfam family "Bacterial large subunit ribosomal RNA", at positions 1502 to 2925 of the family's 2925-position model. The record is from RNAcentral.
AAUAGGGCGUUAAAAGAUGUAGGUAUAUUUUCUAUAGGCAAAUCCGUAGAGAAUGCUGAAGUCCAACAGUACCAGGAGGCUCCGGCCGAAUGGAUAGAGAAUGUAAGCAGACUUCCGAGAAAAUCUUCUAAGCAUAUUGAUACGGUACCCGUACCGCAAACCGACACAGGUAGUCAAGGAGAGAAUCCUGAGGUGCUCGAGUGAGUCAUGGCUAAGGAACUAGGCAAAUUAAACCUGUAACUUCGGGAAAAGGGUUGCCUCUCUUUAGCAAUAAAGAAGGUCGCAGAGAAAUGGCCCAGGCGACUGUUUAACAAAAACACAUGGCUAUGCGAAAUCGUAAGAUGAAGUAUAUGGCCUGACACCUGCCCGGUGCUGGAAGGUUAAGGGGGGAAGUUAGUCGCAAGGCGAAGCUUUGAACUGAAGCCCCAGUAAACGGCGGCCGUAACUAUAACGGUCCUAAGGUAGCGAAAUUCCUUGUCGGGUAAGUUCCGACCUGCACGAAUGGUGUAACGAUCUGGGCACUGUCUCAGCCAUGAGCUCGGUGAAAUUGUAGUCACGGUGAAGUUGCCGUGUACCCGUCACGGGACGGAAAGACCCCAUGCACCUUUACUAUAGCUUCGCAUUGACAUUGGGUAGAUGAUGUGUAGGAUAGGUGGGAGGCGUUGAUCCUGUGCCGCUAGGUAUAGGGGAGCCAACGGUGAAAUACCACCCUUUAUUUAUCUGAUGUCUAAUCCGCAAGACCUGCGGAGACAGUGCGUGGUGGGUAGUUUGACUGGGGUGGUCGCCUCCGAAAGUGUAUCGGAGGCUUUCAAAGGUAUGCUCAAUACGCUUGGUAACCGUAUGUGGAGUGCAAUAGCAUAAGCAUGCUUGACUGUGAGACUGACAAGUCGAGCAGGGUCGAAAGACGGAUAUAGUGAUCCGGUGGUUCUGUAUGGAAGGGCCAUCGCUCAAAGGAUAAAAGGUACGCUGGGGAUAACAGGCUGAUCUCCCCCAAGAGCUCACAUCGACGGGGAGGUUUGGCACCUCGAUGUCGGCUCGUCACAUCCUGGGGCUGGAGAAGGUCCCAAGGGUUAGGCUGUUCGCCUAUUAAAGUGGCACGCGAGCUGGGUUCAGAACGUCGUGAGACAGUUCGGUCCCUAUCUGUGAUGGGCGUAGGAAGUUUGAGAGGAUCUGACCUUAGUACGAGAGGACCGGGUUGGACCAACCGCUGGUGUACCGGUUGUGGCGUCAGCUGCAUCGCCGGGUAGCUACGUUGGGACGAGAUAAGCGCUGAAAGCAUCUAAGCGCGAAACUCACCUCAAGAUGAGACUUCCAUUAAGGGACGUCAGAGACUAUGACGUUGAUAGGCUGCAGGUGUAAAGGCAGAAAUGUCAAAGCUGAGCAGUACUAAUUACCCGAACGCUUCAGAAA